RNAcentral lists this ribosomal RNA (465 nucleotides) under uncultured bacterium. Its description in RNAcentral is "partial 16S ribosomal RNA". It matches the Rfam family "Bacterial small subunit ribosomal RNA", at positions 338 to 795 of the family's 1533-position model. The record is from RNAcentral.
GCUACGGGAGGCAGCAGUAGGGAAUAUUGCACAAUGGGCGAAAGCCUGAUGGAGCAACGCCGCGUGGGUGAAGAAGGUCUUCGGAUCGUAAAACCCUGUUGUUAGAGAAGAAAGUGCGUGAGAGUAACUGUUCACGUUUCGACGGUAUCUAACCAGAAAGCCACGGCUAACUACGUGCCAGCAGCUGCGGUAAUACGUAGGUGGCAAGCGUUAUCCGGAUUUAUUGGGCGUAAAGGGAACGCAGGCGGUCUGUUAAGUCUGAUGUGAAAGCCUUCGGCUUAACCGGAGUAGUGCAUUGGAGACUGGGAGACUUGAGUGCAGGAGAGGCAAGUGGAACUCCUUGUGUAGCGGUGAAAUGCGUAGAUAUAUGGAAGAACACCGGUGGCGAAGGCGGCUCUCUGGUCUGUAACUGACGCUGAGGUUCGAAAGCGUGGGUAGCAAACAGGAUUAGAUACCCGUGUAGUC